RNAcentral lists this ribosomal RNA (305 nucleotides) under uncultured bacterium. Its description in RNAcentral is "bacterial SSU rRNA". It matches the Rfam family "Bacterial small subunit ribosomal RNA", at positions 335 to 657 of the family's 1533-position model. The record is from RNAcentral.
UCUCCUACGGGAGGCAGCAGUGGGGAAUAUUGCACAAUGGGGGAAACCCUGAUGCAGCGACGCCGCGUGAGUGAAGAAGUAUUUCGGUAUGUAAAGCUCUGUCAGCAGGGAAGAAAAUGACAGUACCUGACCAAGAAGCCCCGGCUAACUACGUGCCAGCAGCCGCGGUAAUACGUAGGGGGCGAGCGUUAUCCGGAUUCACUGGGUGUAAAGGGAGCGUAGACGGCCAUGCAAGCCAGGGGUGAAAGCCCGGGGCCCAACCCCGGGACUGCCCUUGGAACUGUGCGGCUAGAGUGCGGGAGGGG